RNAcentral lists this ribosomal RNA (496 nucleotides) under uncultured bacterium. RNAcentral's name for it is "partial 16S ribosomal RNA". It matches the Rfam family "Bacterial small subunit ribosomal RNA", at positions 28 to 506 of the family's 1533-position model. The record is from RNAcentral.
GAUGAACGCUGGCGGCGUGCCUAAUACAUGCAAGUCGAGCGAACGGACGAGAAGCUUGCUUCUCUGAUGUUAGUGGCGGACGGGUGAGUAACACGUGGAUAACCUACCUAUAAGACUGGGAUAACUUCGGGAAACCGGAGCUAAUACCGGAUGAUAUUUUGAACCGCAUGGUUCAAAAGUGAAAGACGGUCUUGCUGUCACUUAUAGAUGGAUCCGCGCUGCAUUAGCUAGUUGGUAAGGUAACGGCUUACCAAGGCAACGAUGCAUAGCCGACCUGAGAGGGUGAUCGGCCACACUGGAACUGAGACACGGUCCAGACUCCUACGGGAGGCAGCAGUAGGGAAUCUUCCGCAAUGGGCGAAAGCCUGACGGAGCAACGCCGCGUGAGUGAUGAAGGUCUUCGGAUCGUAAAACUCUGUUAUUAGGGAAGAACAUAUGUGUAAGUAACUGUGCACAUCUUGACGGUACCUAAUCAGAAAGCCACGGCUAACUACGU